Molecule: ribosomal RNA, 989 nt
Filed under: Salmonella enterica
Lineage: Bacteria; Pseudomonadati; Pseudomonadota; Gammaproteobacteria; Enterobacterales; Enterobacteriaceae
Also listed under: 1 other name
Description: partial 23S ribosomal RNA
Rfam family: Bacterial large subunit ribosomal RNA
Source: RNAcentral
UAAGCCUGUGAAGGUGUGUCGUGAGGCAUGCUGGAGGUAUCAGAAGUGCGAAUGCUGACAUAAGUAACGAUAAAGCGGGUGAAAAGCCCGCUCGCCGGAAGACCAAGGGUUCCUGUCCAACGUUAAUCGGGGCAGGGUGAGUCGACCCCUAAGGCGAGGCCGAAAGGCGUAGUCGAUGGGAAACGGGUUAAUAUUCCCGUACUUGGUGUUACUGCGAAGGGGGGACGGAGAAGGCUAUGUUGGCCGGGCGACGGUUGUCCCGGUUUAAGCGUGUAGGUGUGUGUUCCAGGUAAAUCCGGUUCACUUUAACACUGAGGCGUGACGACGAGGCACUACGGUGCUGAAGCAACAAAUGCCCUGCUUCCAGGAAAAGCCUCUAAGCAUCAGGUAACACGAAAUCGUACCCCAAACCGACACAGGUGGUCAGGUAGAGAAUACCAAGGCGCUUGAGAGAACUCGGGUGAAGGAACUAGGCAAAAUGGUGCCGUAACUUCGGGAGAAGGCACGCUGACACGUAGGUGAAGUGAUUUACUCACGGAGCUGAAGUCAGUCGAAGAUACCAGCUGGCUGCAACUGUUUAUUAAAAACACAGCACUGUGCAAACACGAAAGUGGACGUAUACGGUGUGACGCCUGCCCGGUGCCGGAAGGUUAAUUGAUGGGGUCAGCGCAAGCGAAGCUCCUGAUCGAAGCCCCGGUAAACGGCGGCCGUAACUAUAACGGUCCUAAGGUAGCGAAAUUCCUUGUCGGGUAAGUUCCGACCUGCACGAAUGGCGUAAUGAUGGCCAGGCUGUCUCCACCCGAGACUCAGUGAAAUUGAACUCGCUGUGAAGAUGCAGUGUACCCGCGGCAAGACGGAAAGACCCCGUGAACCUUUACUAUAGCUUGACACUGAACAUUGAGCCUUGAUGUGUAGGAUAGGUGGGAGGCUUUGAAGUGUGGACGCCAGUCUGCAUGGAGCCGACCUUGAAAUACCACCCUUUAAUGUUU